UCGAGCGAUUCUCUUCGGAGAAGAGCGGCGGACGGGUGAGUAACGCGUGGGUAACCUGCCCUGUACACACGGAUAACAUACCGAAAGGUAUGCUAAUACGAGAUAAUAUACUUUUAUCGCAUGUUAGAAGUAUCAAAGCUCCGGCGGUAUGAGAUGGACCCGCGUCUGAUUAGCUAGUUGGUAAGGUAAUGGCUUACCAAGGCGACGAUCAGUAGCCGACCUGAGAGGGUGAUCGGCCACAUUGGAACUGAGACACGGUCCAAACUCC
Molecule: ribosomal RNA, 268 nt
Filed under: uncultured Peptostreptococcaceae bacterium
Lineage: Bacteria; Bacillati; Bacillota; Clostridia; Peptostreptococcales; Peptostreptococcaceae
Description: partial 16S ribosomal RNA
Rfam family: Bacterial small subunit ribosomal RNA
Source: RNAcentral